GGAGGAGAUGCCAUGACCCUCAUUCUCACAAGCCUGCUCUUCUUUGGUGAGAUCUUAAGAGGGGGAGGAGAGACCCUAGUCUAGGAGAGAGACCCCAAUCCAUAGCCAUGCCUUAGUCAAUUAGGGCAUCCCAGGGGCUCAAGGAAAAGAAGAAGACCUGCUCAGGCUUCGGAGGCAAAUCUCUCACAGGGAACUCUCUUCCAGGGCUGAGCCUGGGCCCCAGGACCCGGGUGCAGGCAGAAAACCUACUCAAACCCAUCCUGUGGGCCGAGCCAGGUCCCGUGAUCACCUGGCAUAACCCCGUGACCAUCUGGUGUCAGGGCACCCUGGAGGCCCAGGGGUACCGUCUGGAUAAAGAGGGAAACUCAAUGUCGAGGCACAUAUUAAAAACACUGGAGUCUGAAAACAAGGUCAAACUCUCCAUCCCAUCCAUGAUGUGGGAACAUGCAGGGCGAUAUCACUGUUACUAUCAGAGCCCUGCAGGCUGGUCAGAGCCCAGCGACCCCCUGGAGCUGGUGGUGACAGCCUACAGCAGACCCACCCUGUCCG
RNAcentral lists this long non-coding RNA (549 nucleotides) under Homo sapiens (human). Its description in RNAcentral is "non-protein coding lnc-LILRA4-1:16". Lineage: Eukaryota; Metazoa; Chordata; Mammalia; Primates; Hominidae. The record is from RNAcentral.